Molecule: long non-coding RNA, 532 nt
Organism: Homo sapiens (human)
Lineage: Eukaryota; Metazoa; Chordata; Mammalia; Primates; Hominidae
Gene: LINC-ROR
Product: long intergenic non-protein coding RNA, regulator of reprogramming
Source: Ensembl
GACCCCACUGGAAAUCGGACUGUCCAACUCACCUGACAGCCACUCCCACAGCCGCUGGAACUCUGGCCCAAGGCUCUCUGACUCCUUCCCAGAUCUUCUUGGCUUAGCGGCUGAAGACUGACGCUGCCCGAUCGCCUCGGAAGCCCCCUAGACCAUCACGGACGCCGAGCUUCGGGUAACUCUCACAGUGGAAGAAGAAAACAGAUUCGGUUUACCUGAGACUCAACUUCAAUCCCUUGGACAGAAGAGUGCUAUGCUAGGUGCCAGCCCAAAAAUAUCGUCAGAGUGUCAGGGUGGGUCUUCCCCCUGUGGUUUCCACCACCUUGUGCCAACUCAAAUGAUGGGAAUGAUGUCAUUUAACAGACCUAGUGUGACCAAGACUGCGAUCUGUCCCUCAGUAUCUGUUCUCUUCUUAUCAGAAACACAACUACAGAUUUCUACCUGGUGCAUGGCCAUCGCUCAUGAAGACUACAACUUCCAGCUUCCUUUGAAGAAAAAGAGGACUUGAUGGCAUUGUCGCUAAGUAAGAAAU